AACAAGGUUUCCGUAGGUGAACCUGCGGAAGGAUCAUUACUGAAUUGUCAAACGGGUUGUUGCUGGCCCUCAUAGGGGGCAUGUGCACGCUCUGUUUACACAUCCACUCACACCUGUGCACCCUCUGUAGUUCUAUGGUCUGGGGGACCCUGUCUUCCUUCUGUGGUUCUACGUCUUUACACACACACUGUAAUAAAGUUUUAUGGAAUGUACAUCGCGUCUAACGCAAUACAAUACAACUUUCAGGAACGGAUCUCUUGGCUCUCGCAUCGAUGAAGAACGCAGCGAAAUGCGAUAAGUAAUGUGAAUUGCAGAAUUCAGUGAAUCAUCGAAUCUUUGAACGCACCUUGCGCCCCUUGGCUAUUCCGAGGGGCAUGCCUGUUUGAGUAUCAUGAACACCUCAACUCUCAUGGUUUGCCAUGAUGAGUUGGACUCUGGGGGUUUUGCUGGCCUGUGGUCGGCUCCUCUCAAAUUAAUCAGCCUCCCAGUGUUUGGUGGCAUCACGGGUGUGAUAAAUAUCUACGCUCGCUGUUGUCUGCCAGGUAACCUUUGGUCACAAAGGUUUGCUGGAGCUCACAGAUGUCUCUCCUCAGCGAGGACAGCUUUUUUAACGUUCGAUCUCAAAUCAGGUAGGACUACCCGCUGAACUUAA
Molecule: ribosomal RNA, 652 nt
Filed under: uncultured fungus
Lineage: Eukaryota; Fungi
Description: eukaryotic LSU rRNA
Rfam family: 5.8S ribosomal RNA (bases 238-392)
Source: RNAcentral